ACAAUUAGCUGUUGGGACACUAGAUGUCUUAGUAGCGAAGCUAACGCGUGAAAUUGUCCGCCUGGGGAGUACGGUCGCAAGAUUAAAACUCAAAGGAAUUGACGGGGACCCGCACAAGCGGUGGAUGAUGUGGAUUAAUUCGAUGCAACGCGAAGAACCUUACCUGGUCUUGACAUGUACGGAAUCUCUUAGAGAUAGGAGAGUGCCUUCGGGAACCGUAACACAGGUGCUGCAUGGCUGUCGUCAGCUCGUGUCGUGAGAUGUUGGGUUAAGUCCCGCAACGAGCGCAACCCUUGUCAUUAGUUGCCAUCAUUAAGUUGGGCACUCUAAUGAGACUGCCGGUGAUAUGCCGGAGGAAGGUGGGGAUGACGUCAAGUCCUCAUGGCCCUUAUGACCAGGGCUUCACACGUCAUACAAUG
Molecule: ribosomal RNA, 419 nt
Filed under: uncultured Neisseriaceae bacterium
Lineage: Bacteria; Pseudomonadati; Pseudomonadota; Betaproteobacteria; Neisseriales; Neisseriaceae
Description: bacterial SSU rRNA
Rfam family: Bacterial small subunit ribosomal RNA
Source: RNAcentral